RNAcentral lists this transfer RNA (64 nucleotides) under Fasciolopsis buskii. RNAcentral's name for it is "Fasciolopsis buski tRNA-Tyr". Lineage: Eukaryota; Metazoa; Platyhelminthes; Trematoda; Plagiorchiida; Fasciolidae. The record is from RNAcentral.
GCUGAUUUAGUCAUAAGUUUAGUGGUGUNGGAUUGUAGCUUCCGAGGUNAGGUUUCUAAUCAGA